This 264-nucleotide unclassified non-coding RNA is filed under the name Glomeraceae sp. Its description in RNAcentral is "partial internal transcribed spacer 2". Lineage: Eukaryota; Fungi; Glomeromycota; Glomeromycetes; Glomerales; Glomeraceae. The record is from RNAcentral.
GUGAAUCAUCGAAUCUUUGAACGCAAAUUGCACUCUCUUCGGUUAGUAUGCCUGUUUGUGGUCCAGCCUAUAAAAAAUCCACAUCGUUUCUGUUUCGCGGUGGCGUUCGUUGGACAUUGGGUAAUCUUAAAUCCUUUUGGGUUUUAAGCGAUUUAAAAUUUUCUUUUUGGUUCCAUGAACGUUUCUAAGAUUUAUUUCUUUACACGUUUAAGGUAUCGCUUUUUAUUAGACGUGACCAUCAUAUCGGAUCACCUCCAUAAUCAU